GUAGGUGGCAAGCGUUGUCCGGAAUUAUUGGGCGUAAAGCGCGCGCAGGCGGUUUUUUAAGUCUGAUGUGAAAGCCCACGGCUCAACCGUGGAGGGUCAUUGGAAACUGGAGAACUUGAGUACAGAAGAGGAAAGCGGAAUUCCACGUGUAGCGGUGAAAUGCGUAGAGAUGUGGAGGAACACCAGUGGCGAAGGCGGCUUUCUGGUCUGUAACUGACGCUGAGGCGCGAAAGCGUGGGGAGCAAACAGGGAUUAGAUACCCUGGUAGUCCACGCCGUAAACGAUGAGUGCUAAGUGUUAGGGGGUUUCCGCCCCCUUAGUGCUGCAGCUAACGCAUUAAGCACUCCGCCCUGGGGAGUACGGCCGCAAGGCUG
RNAcentral lists this ribosomal RNA (374 nucleotides) under uncultured organism. RNAcentral describes it as "partial 16S ribosomal RNA". It matches the Rfam family "Bacterial small subunit ribosomal RNA", at positions 527 to 896 of the family's 1533-position model. The record is from RNAcentral.